Molecule: ribosomal RNA, 424 nt
Filed under: uncultured bacterium
Lineage: Bacteria
Description: partial 16S ribosomal RNA
Rfam family: Bacterial small subunit ribosomal RNA
Source: RNAcentral
GAAUAUUGGACAAUGGGCGACAGCCUGAUCCAGCCAUGCCGCGUGUGUGAAGAAGGUCUUCGGAUUGUAAAGCACUUUAAGUGGGGAGGAAGGGCAGUAGGCGAAUACCUUGCUGUUUUGCCGUUACCGACAGCAUAAGCACCGGCGAACUCGGUGCCAGCAGCCGCGGUAGUCCCGAGGGUGCAAGCGUUAAUCGGAAUUACUGGGCGUAAAGCGCGCGUAGGUGGUUCGUUAAGUUGGAUGUGAAAUCCCCGGGCUCAACCUGGGAACUGCAUCCAAAACUGGCGAGCUAGAGUAGGGCAGAGGGUGGUGGAAUUUCCUGUGUAGCGGUGAAAUGCGUAGAUAUAGGAAGGAACACCAGUGGCGAAGGCGACCACCUGGGCUCAUACUGACACUGAGGUGCGAAAGCGUGGGGAGCAAACAG